RNAcentral lists this long non-coding RNA (349 nucleotides) under Arabidopsis thaliana (thale cress). Its description in RNAcentral is "long non-coding RNA (ATHA_LNC000429)". Lineage: Eukaryota; Viridiplantae; Streptophyta; Magnoliopsida; Brassicales; Brassicaceae. The record is from RNAcentral.
GACUACAAAUCUCCUCCACCACCAUACGUCUACAACUCUCCACCACCACCUUAUUACUCUCCUUCUCCAAAGGUAGAAUACAAGUCUCCACCACCACCAUAUGUCUACAACUCUCCACCACCACCUUAUUACUCUCUUUCUCCUAAAGUAGACUACAAGUCUCCACCACCACCAUACGUCUACAACUCUCCACCACCACCUUAUUACUCUCCUUCUCCAAAGGUAGACUACAAGUUUUCACCACCACCAUACGUCUACAACUCUCCAUCACCACCAUAUUACUCUCCUUCUCCUAAAGUAGACUACAAGUCUCCACCACCACCAUACGUCUACAACUCUCCACCACCAC